GAAGCUGGAAUCGCUAGUAAUCGCAGAUCAGAAUGCUGCGGUGAAUACGCUCCCGGGUCUUGUACACACCGCCCGUCACACCAUGGGAGUUGGAAAUGCCCGAAGUCGGUGACCUAACCGAAAGGGAGGAGCCGCCGAAGGCAGGUCUGAUAACUGGGGUGAAGUCGUAACAAGGUACC
RNAcentral lists this ribosomal RNA (179 nucleotides) under uncultured bacterium. Its description in RNAcentral is "partial 16S ribosomal RNA". It matches the Rfam family "Bacterial small subunit ribosomal RNA", at positions 1322 to 1500 of the family's 1533-position model. The record is from RNAcentral.